CUGAGGUCUUGCAGUUUCCACAGCGAUAAAAUGAAGUCAGUAUGAGGUGUGACAGGCACAGGAGAAGCAGCUCCUGCACUCAGGAAGGUACAGUGGGCCCGUGUCCAAGAGCAUUGAGCCAAAGCUGGACCACGAUUCCACACUGCAUGGUGGUAGAGUAACAGUGUGGCAUACUUCUGCUGUAAGUAAUAUGUCGCUUGCCUUCUAAACGGAGAGUCUUGCAACUAAGAACAGAGUAAACUAAAAACAUUUUGAAUGCCUAUCGUGCCAACAUCAAUAAAGGCUGUUGAUUAGAAAGCAAAA
Molecule: non-coding RNA, 303 nt
Organism: Rattus norvegicus (Norway rat)
Lineage: Eukaryota; Metazoa; Chordata; Mammalia; Rodentia; Muridae
Source: RefSeq, a predicted model, not a curated record